Cricetulus griseus (Chinese hamster) is the source of this 107-nucleotide small nuclear RNA. Lineage: Eukaryota; Metazoa; Chordata; Mammalia; Rodentia; Cricetidae. The record is from Ensembl.
GUGCUCAAUUCAGCAGCACAUAUACUAAAACUGGAACAAUACAGAGAAGGUUAGCAUGGCCCCUGCGCAAGGAUGACAUGCAAAUUCGUGAAGAGUUCCAUAUUUUU